AGCAGCCGCGGUAAUUCCAGCUCCAAUAGCGUAUAUUAAAGUUGUUGCAGUUAAAAGCUCGUAGUUAAAUUUCGAGACCGGCUUACUGGUCGUGCUAUUGUGCGUACUGGUAUAAUCGGUUUCUCCUUUCUGACGAACUAUAAUGCCAUUAAUUUGGUGUUAUAGGGAAUCAGGACUGUUACUUUGAAAAAUUAGAGUGUUUAAAGCAGGCUCACGCUUGAAUACAUUAGCAUGGAAUAACGGAAUAGGACGUUUGAUUCUAUUUUGUUGGUUUCUAGGAUCGACGUAAUGAUUAAUAGGGAUAGUUGGGGGCAUUAGUAUUCAAUUGUCAGAGGUGAAAUUCUUGGAUUUAUUGAAGACUAACUACUGCGAAAGCAUUUGCCAAGAAUGUUUUCAUUAAUCAAGAACGAAAGUUAGGGGAUCGAAGACGAUCAGAUACCGUCGUAGUCUUAACCAUAAACUAUGCCGACUAGGGAUCGGAUGAUGUUAAUUUUUUAAUGUACUCA
RNAcentral lists this ribosomal RNA (506 nucleotides) under uncultured Glomeraceae. RNAcentral's name for it is "SSU rRNA". It matches the Rfam family "Eukaryotic small subunit ribosomal RNA", at positions 569 to 1082 of the family's 1831-position model. Lineage: Eukaryota; Fungi; Glomeromycota; Glomeromycetes; Glomerales; Glomeraceae. The record is from RNAcentral.